UCCCUAUAAAUUAGAAGACACAGUUCUGCCCUCUAAUACAUCUUUCUCUUGUUCAUCCUUCACCUGUGAGGACUGCGUGCCUGACAUCUACCUGCCAGCCAUGGAUCCCAAAUGUAACUGCGAGAAUGGUGCCUCUUGCACCUGUGCAGGCUCCUGCAAAUGCCAAUCAUGCCAGUGUUCCUCCUGCAAGAAGACCUGCUGCUCCUGCUGCCCAGGAGAAUGUACCAAGUGUGCCCAGAACUGUGUCUGCAAAGACCCCCAGACAAGGAGUUGCAGCUGCUGCCAAUAAUGUCCUCACUUCCCUUUGACUGUAAAUAGAAGAAUUUGUGCAGACCUGAAUUUUUAUACAGCAUUGCAUGUGUUUUCUACUGUUUUUCUAUGAAAUAUAUGAAUUAAAAUAAACGAUGAAUACCUUUA
Molecule: non-coding RNA, 417 nt
Organism: Phascolarctos cinereus (koala)
Lineage: Eukaryota; Metazoa; Chordata; Mammalia; Diprotodontia; Phascolarctidae
Source: RefSeq, a predicted model, not a curated record